GAUCCUGCUCAGGAUGAACGCUAGCUACAGGCUUAACACAUGCAAGUCGAGGGGAAACGACAUCGAAAGCUUGCUUUUGAUGGGCGUCGACCGGCGCACGGGUGAGUAACGCGUAUCCAACCUGCCCACCACUUGGGGAUAACCUUGCGAAAGUAAGACUAAUACCCAAUGACAUCCCACGAAGACAUCUGAAUGGGAUUAAAGAUUUAUCGGUGAUGGAUGGGGAUGCGUCUGAUUAG
RNAcentral lists this ribosomal RNA (239 nucleotides) under uncultured bacterium. RNAcentral's name for it is "partial 16S ribosomal RNA". It matches the Rfam family "Bacterial small subunit ribosomal RNA", at positions 15 to 244 of the family's 1533-position model. The record is from RNAcentral.